RNAcentral lists this unclassified non-coding RNA (2583 nucleotides) under Hevea brasiliensis (rubber tree). The record is from RNAcentral. Lineage: Eukaryota; Viridiplantae; Streptophyta; Magnoliopsida; Malpighiales; Euphorbiaceae.
UGUUAGUUGACUUGGCCAAAACGCCAAACAGAGAAAUCUGAAUCUAUUUCCAUUGUAUUUUUGGUUGGGCACUUUCACCGAACAGUUGGCGUGCGCGUGGCACUUCAAUGGAGAAAGUCGCCUACAAGCUUCUACUCUCGUGUCCCUCUGGUCUCGCACCUUCUCAGGUCUCCGUGCUUUUUGAUCAAUCAUACGAUAGAAUUCCCCAUCCUGAUGUUGAGUUAGAAAACUCCAUUGCUGAGAUAUGGGAUCAAAGGGCACAGAAGAAUACUUCACUGUACAAUGGUAAAAAGUUCCGGGUAUGUUGAUCUCAUUUAGCUAUCGUGUUUGUUUCAGAUAUUCAUUCUGACAAUAAAUAUAGUUCUUGACACAAUAUACUGAUGGUUUUUCACUAUGCUAUGUGUGACUUUAUAGCAUACUUCAUUUGACCAAACUGAUGAGAAUGCCACCAGCCAGUGAGCCUGUCUGUAUAUGAUUGGAUACAUUACACCAUGAUUUCCUUUAUCAAAACUGCCAAUAAAAACUGAGUGUCUAAUAUAUAUAGCAGUUGAUCUGGUGUUAUUUUGUUUAGAACCUAUUUAGUUUCAUAGUUUCUAAAAUGACUGCAAUGUUUUCUAUAGUUAAAAUGCAGGAGAGAUCAAAAUAUUCAUAAGACUGCGCAUUUAAUCAUCGGAGAAAUAUUAGAAAGUAAAAGUGAUUCCAAAUUUUUAUUUGAAGCAUGUGAUGCCAGAGAUAUGCAUGCAUUAACGCAACAGACAGAAAGUUGAGGUCCUGCAUUUGUUUUAUAUGUUUAAUCUUUUAAUGCAUGGAUGUUUUCAUGCAUUUAAUUUCACUGUUUUCUCAUGAAUUUAUAUUGCCCAUUAGUUUUUUUCUAGGAUAGAUGUUGCUCAUUUGUUGUUUUUUCCAUAACUUUACAGUAUGGAGGGUAUAACAUCCAUAGUGGAGAUGGAUCACACCAAGAUUCUCAUGUAUGGCUUCACCUUGGUUUGACGGAUUAUAGGUCUCUUCCUCUGUCUCUCAUUCUCAUGUGUGUUUGUGGUUGUCAUGCAAUGAAUUCAUGAAUGCUGCAUUUUAAGAAAAGGAAAAAAAAAUCAAUUUAUUAUAUAUUAUGCGAUACAAUCAUACCAACUAGUAAAAUACUACAAUAUCCCUUAGCUUUUGCAUCUUUCAAGUUAACUUCUUGCAAUUAUUGCUGGACACCGCAUUUGGUCUCACAGGUGAGAAACUCAGAACUAGUUUAGUAUGCUUACUAGGUCACUGAUCUUGUGUGCAUGUAAUACUCUGAUGUUAUCAGUUGUAUAGGAGGAGGCCUACUGCAAGAUUGUUAAAUAUGACUCCAUUUCAUCAUUAUUCAUUACUGGAACAAGGAUUUGUAUCAAUUGAUCAAUGUUUGUCAUAGCAGAUUGCCAUAGGUUAAUGUUUAAUUUGAAUGCUAUUAUCAUAAUCAUUUGCAAUCAGUCUUCUGUUUACUCUGAAUUUCUUUUUUGGUUUAAAGCUUCUUCUCUAUUUUAUUUAAAUGAAUAAUUUAUUGCUUUUAGUAUAAUCUUUAGUUGAUCUACCUAUUCAUUAUUAAGCACAAUGUAACACUUAUCCUUGUACUCAGUAAUUUUAUUUUUCAGCCAUAAUAGAGAAUUAACACUAUCUGCUUGUUACCCAGGACUUUUGUUGGGACAAACUUAAGUCCUUUUUGGGAAAAGUUCCUUGUUCCAUCAGAAGAUGACCCUAUACAAUGUCAACAUACGUCAAGUCCACUGGGUAAUGGCGCAGUUGUGGAGACAUCUGACAAGAAAAUAGUUGUGUUGCGAAGAAGUUCCAAUGUUGGAGAAUUUCCUGGGCAUUUUGUUUUCCCUGGAGGCCAUCCAGAGCCUGAAGAAGUUGGAAUAGCUUCUCAUCAGAGUGGCAAAGACUUUACUGACUCUGAGAUUAUUAAUAAGAAGGCUUCUCAAGAGAUGUUUGACAGUAUUAUUCGUGAAGUAGUAGAGGAAAUUGGAGUCCCAAUGACAUCUCUUUGCAAUCCACUUUUUAUUGGUGUAUCCCGCCGGGUGUUAAACGUUAGACCUGCAGCCUUUUUCUUUAUCAGAUGCAGCCUUUGCUCAGAAGAAAUUCAACAACUGUAUUGUAAUGCUCAAGAUGGCUACGAAUCAACCCAACUUUUUACAGUUCCAUUGAUCGAAUUAGAAAAUAUGGCAUCUAAAAUGCCCGGCUGCCAUCAAGGUGGAUUUGCCCUCUAUAAGCUGAUGGUGGAAGCUUUGAAGAAUACCUGAUUAUUCAUCGCUGCUGAACAAUUGAAGUUGUUUGCCCUUAGCAUCUCUGUAGUCCUCAGUGACAUCAUUAUGAUUUUGACACACUUUACUUGGUAUUCAUCUUGCAAUUAAAUAUAACAAGGAGGCAUGCUGCUUUAGUCUUUCCCAUACUUGCACAAAGAUGAUUAUGCAAAGGUAUAUAUGUUCCAUUUCAUGCUACAACCUUUCUUCUAAACAUUAAUGAGAUGUAAAAACAAUGUGCAACACACGCAAUGACAUUGGACAACAUUAAAUACUUCAAUAUUAAUUGAAUUAAUGUCAUAUUAUCCUUAAUUUUUUU